CUAGCGACAGGCCUAACACAUGCAAGUCGAGGGGUAGCAUGAAGUAGCAAUACUUUGAUGACGACCGGCGCACGGGUGAGUAACACGUAUGCAACCUACCUUCUACAGGGGAAUAGCCCGGAGAAAUCCGGAUUAAUACCCCAUAACGCAGGGAUACCGCCUGGUAAUAUUUGCUAAAGAUUAAUCGGUAGAAGAUGGGCAUGCGUUCCAUUAGCCAGUUGGUGAGGUAACGGCUCACCAAAGCAACGAUGGAUAGGGGAACUGAGAGGUUUAUCCCCCACACUGGAACUGAGACACCGGGGGGCCUACGGGAGGCAGCAGUGAGGAAUAUUGGUCCAUGGGCGCAAGUUUGAACCCGGCAAGUUGCGUGAAGGAAGACUGCCCUUCGGGUUGUAAACUUUUUUUGUACAGGGGUAAAACGUGGGACGUGUCCCAUAUUGCAAGUUCUGUAAGAAUAAGCCUCGGCUAAAUUCGUGCCCGCACGCCGCGGUUAUUCGGGGGGUGCAAGCGUUAUCCGGAUUUUUUGGGUUUAAAGGGUGCGUAGGCGGGAUUAUAAGUCAGCGGUGAAAGUUUGAGGCUCAACCUUAAAAUUGCCGUUGAAACUGUUUUUCUUGAGUAUAUUUGAAGUUGGCGGAAUUCGUGGUGUAGCGGUGAAAUGCAUAGAUAUCACGGAGAACCCCAAUUGCGAAGGCAGCUUACUAAACUAUAACUGACGGUGAGGCAAGAAAGCGUGGGUAUCAAACAGGAUUAGAUACCCUGGUAGUCCACGCCGUAAACGAUGAUUACUAGGUGUUUGUGGAUAAUACAAUAAGUGGCCUAAGCGAAAGCGAUAAGUAUCCCACCUGGGAAU
Molecule: ribosomal RNA, 850 nt
Filed under: uncultured Dysgonomonas sp.
Lineage: Bacteria; Pseudomonadati; Bacteroidota; Bacteroidia; Bacteroidales; Dysgonomonadaceae
Description: bacterial SSU rRNA
Rfam family: Bacterial small subunit ribosomal RNA
Source: RNAcentral